AUUGAACGCUGGCGGCAUGCCUUACACAUGCAAGUCGAACGGUAACAGGUUAAGCUGACGCGUGGCGAACGGGUGAGUAAUAUAUCGGAACGUGCCCAGUCGUGGGGGAUAACGUAGCGAAAGCUACGAUAAUACCGCAUACGAUCUCCGGAUGAAAGCGGGGGAUGGCAAGCCCUCGCGCGAUUGGAGCGGCCGAUAUCAGAUUAGGUUGUUGGUGAGGUAAAAGCUCACCAAGCCUGCGAUCUGUAGCUGGUCUGAGAGGACGACCAGCCACACUGGAACUGAGACACGGUCCAGACUCCUACGGGAGGCAGCAGUGGGGAAUUUUGGACAAUGGACGCAAGUCUGAUCCAGCAAUGCCGCGUGCAGGACGAAGGCCUUCGGGUUGUAAACUGCUUUUGUACGGAACGAAACGGUGAGCUCUAAUACAGUUUGCUAAUGACGGUACCGUAAGAAUAAGCACCGGCUAACUACGUGCCAGCCGCCGCGGUAA
This 493-nucleotide ribosomal RNA is filed under the name uncultured bacterium. RNAcentral describes it as "partial 16S ribosomal RNA". It matches the Rfam family "Bacterial small subunit ribosomal RNA", at positions 30 to 523 of the family's 1533-position model. The record is from RNAcentral.